GACGAACGCUGGCGGCGUGCUUAACACAUGCAAGUCGAACGGAAAGGCCCUGCUUUUGUUGGGUGCUCGAGUGGCGAACGGGUGAGUAACACGUGAGUAACCUGCCCUUGACUUUGGGAUAACUUCAGGAAACUGGGGCUAAUACCGGAUAGGAGCUCCUGCUGCAUUGUGGGGGGUGGAAAGUUUCGGCUGUUGGGGAUGGACUCGCGGCUUAUCAGCUUGUUGGUGGGGUAGUGGCUUACCAAGGCUUUGACGGGUAGCCGGCCUGAGAGUGUGACCGGCCACAUUGGGACUGAGAUACGGCCCAGACUCCUACGGGAGGCAGCAGUGGGGACUAUUGCACAAUGGGCGGAAGCCUGAUGCAGCAACGCCGCGUGCGGGAUAACGGCCUUCGGGUUGUACACCGCUUUCGCCUGUGACGAAGCGUGAGUGACGGUAAUGGGUAAAGAAGCACCGGCUAACUACGUG
RNAcentral lists this ribosomal RNA (468 nucleotides) under uncultured bacterium. Its description in RNAcentral is "partial 16S ribosomal RNA". It matches the Rfam family "Bacterial small subunit ribosomal RNA", at positions 28 to 507 of the family's 1533-position model. The record is from RNAcentral.